GACGAACGCUGGCGGCGUGCCUAAUACAUGCAAGUCGAACGCUUCUUUCCUCCCGAGUGCUUGCACUCAAUUGGAAAGAGGAGUGGCGGACGGGUGAGUAACACGUGGGUAACCUACCCAUCAGAGGGGGAUGACACUUGGAAACAGGUGCUAAUACCGCAUAACAGUUUAUGCCGCAUGGCAUAAGAGUGAAAGGCGCUUUCGGGUGUCGCUGAUGGAUGGACCCGCGGUGCAUUAGCUAGUUGGUGAGGUAACGGCUCACCAAGGCCACGAUGCAUAGCCGACCUGAGAGGGUGAUCGGCCACACUGGGACUGAGACACGGCCCAGACUCCUACGGGAGGCAGCAGUAGGGAAUCUUCGGCAAUGGACGAAAGUCUGACCGAGCAACGCCGCGUGAGUGAAGAAGGUUUACGGAUCGUAAAACUCUGUUGUUAGAGAAGAACAAGGACGUUAGUAACUGAACGUCCCCUGACGGUAUCUAACCAGAAAGCCACGGCUAACUACGUG
RNAcentral lists this ribosomal RNA (508 nucleotides) under uncultured bacterium. RNAcentral's name for it is "partial 16S ribosomal RNA". It matches the Rfam family "Bacterial small subunit ribosomal RNA", at positions 28 to 507 of the family's 1533-position model. The record is from RNAcentral.